GUUGGAAGUAAGGUUCUUCUUGAACUCAUAAACUGGUGUCCCAACUUCUCUCUCAAAAACGCACACACUCAAAGCAACCACAGCAGGUGAUGAAAGGGAUUGAAUAAUUGAACUAAGUUUCAAAUUACGCACAACAAAAAUAGAAAGUCCUGGAGAAACUCAGCAGGUUGCAAAAGAUUCUACGAAAGGGUGCUGGGAAUCUAAUUGAGCGCAGGAAAUGCUGGCAACAUUCAGGUCUGGCAACAUUUCUGAUGAGACAAACAAGUUAACCUUUCAGAUCUGUAACAUUUCAUCAGAACCAUCAUAAGUGCAAGUCCUUAACAGAUAAAGAGCCGUGAUUUUGACGCCGUUUGGAGUACAGCAAUAUUGAAUAUAGAAUCAAAGAAAAGAAGAAGGACACAUUUCCAAUAAGCUACAGAAGAUUUGAAUUGUGCACCUAGAGGGAGUCAAUGGCCUAGUGGUAUUAAUCCAGAGAUUCAGACAACGUUACGAGGACCCAGGCUGCCACAGCAGAUGGUGGAAUUUGAAUUCAAUAAAUAUCUGGAAUUAAGAAUCUAACGAUGACCACAAAUCCAUUGCCAAUU
This is a long non-coding RNA of Rhincodon typus (whale shark), 584 nucleotides long. RefSeq lists it as uncharacterized. NCBI's taxonomy places the organism in Eukaryota, Metazoa, Chordata, Chondrichthyes, Orectolobiformes, Rhincodontidae. The record is from RefSeq and is a predicted model, not a curated record. The transcript has 3 exons.